Molecule: ribosomal RNA, 469 nt
Filed under: Veillonella dispar
Lineage: Bacteria; Bacillati; Bacillota; Negativicutes; Veillonellales; Veillonellaceae
Description: bacterial SSU rRNA
Rfam family: Bacterial small subunit ribosomal RNA
Source: RNAcentral
GACGAACGCUGGCGGCGUGCUUAACACAUGCAAGUCGAACGAAGAGCGAUGGAAGCUUGCUUCUAUCAAUCUUAGUGGCGAACGGGUGAGUAACGCGUAAUCAACCUGCCCUUCAGAGGGGGACAACAGUUGGAAACGACUGCUAAUACCGCAUACGAUCUGACCUCGGCAACGAGGAUGGAUGAAAGGUGGCCUCUAUUUAUAAGCUAUCACUGAAGGAGGGGAUUGCGUCUGAUUAGCUAGUUGGAGGGGUAACGGCCCACCAAGGCGAUGAUCAGUAGCCGGUCUGAGAGGAUGAACGGCCACAUUGGGACUGAGACACGGCCCAGACUCCUACGGGAGGCAGCAGUGGGGAAUCUUCCGCAAUGGACGAAAGUCUGACGGAGCAACGCCGCGUGAGUGAUGACGGCCUUCGGGUUGUAAAGCUCUGUUAAUCGGGACGAAAGGCCUUCUUGCGAAUAGUUAGAAG